UAGUAGCGGCGAGUGAAGCGGGAAGAGCUCAAAUUUGUAAUCUGGCGUCUUUCAGGCGUCCGAGUUGUAAUCUAUAGAAGUGUUUUCCGUGCUGGACCAUGUCCAAGUCCCUUGGAACAGGGUAUCAAAGAGGGUGACAAUCCCGUACUUGAUAUGGCCACCAGUGCUCUGUGAUACACUUUCUACGAGUCGAGUUGUUUGGGAAUGCAGCUCAAAAUGGGUGGUAAAUUCCAUCUAAAGCUAAAUAUUGGCGAGAGACCGAUAGCGAACAAGUACCGUGAGGGAAAGAUGAAAAGCACUUUGGAAAGAGAGUUAAACAGUACGUGAAAUUGUUGAAAGGGAAACGAUUGAAGUCAGUCGUGUUCAUUGGACUCAGCCGGUUCUUCCGGUCUAUUUCCUUUGAACGGGUCAACAUCAGUUUUGUCCGGUGGAUAAAGGCAGAGAGAAAGUGGCUCCCUCGGGAGUGUUAUAGCUUUUUGUCACAUACACUGGAGGAGACUGAGGACUGCAGCUCGCCUUUUGGCCGGGGUUCGCCCACGUUCGAGCUUAGGAUGUUGACAUAAUGGCUUUAAACGACCCGUCUUGAACCAACGG
RNAcentral lists this ribosomal RNA (594 nucleotides) under fungal sp. JG4-1. RNAcentral's name for it is "eukaryotic LSU rRNA". It matches the Rfam family "Eukaryotic large subunit ribosomal RNA", at positions 81 to 664 of the family's 3401-position model. Lineage: Eukaryota; Fungi. The record is from RNAcentral.